CUUUGCGAACAGUCAGAGAAUCAUCUCUAUGAACUGGGGGAGCAGCAUAUACAGGCACAGCCUGUCUAACAGUGACAGAAGGAGCUAUUCGUACAGCUGGAGCCCGCAUCAUCUGAGGUGGAAGAGCAGAUGGUGGUGGGUGUGGAGGUGCUGAGAAACAAGGCACUGUAGUUCUUACUGUCACUGGUGGUGCAAUGCCACGACAAGAAGUCCUAUAUUGUCGGAUAGGAACAUAGGGAGCAGCUCCAGCAGCAGGGAAUUUCUGAGGUCGAACAACACGUCCUUCUGAGCCAUACGGUUGUGGCUGUGCAGGUUUUUCAUUUGUUCCGGUCGAUGUUGGUCUGUGUCGAGACGCUGUCUUAGGGCAGAACAAGGGAAGAAUUUUUGAUGUAGUAGCAAGGGGAGGCUGUGGACUUGUUGGUCUAGUGUUCUGAACUGGGAACUUUCUUGCAAAUGGGAUUGGGGAAUCAAGAGUGCUCGCCAUGGCCAUCUUUUCCUUUAGGCGAUAAUUCAAUAAGGCUCGCGCUAUUGUAAUCUGUUCUAACUCAUCAUUAGUCUCUGGCUCAGAUGAAGAACUUGCAGUUUCUUUUGCCACUGGGAAAGACCAAAAAAGAAAAGUAAUUGACCUUCAGGAUAGGAGUUCCCGGGCAGAUAUUUCAGACACUGCUCAAUGAAAAAUUUAAACAAAUAUUCUGCAAAUUGUUUACAGAGAAUGUGGAGAAUGGUGAGCUAAUAUCUGACUAACGAGCUCAUCAAAACGUAAAUAAUGGUUAGGCCAGCCGCUAGCCUUGUGAAACACAGCUGUAUAACAUAUAUACUAGUUAUGCACUCCAUAAAUUUGAAGUCUUAGUUUGUGAACAUUAAAAAACGAUAUGAUUCUACACAGAGGACAUUGGAGGAAGAGGGUUCGUGUAGUUUGGGACUGAGGCUUACCUCAGUUCAAUUAUUAUAUUCCAUCACACAGACGGUUCAUCAACAAGAAAGCUUAAGACUGAAACUUACAUUGUUUUAGAGAUGUCCACGCUGCCAUAGCUGCAUUCUUCUCAGCUUGCUUCUUGUUCUUGGCAGGUUCCCCUGUAAAUGCUAUCCCAGCCAACUCUACGAUCCCAGUAAAAACGGGCAGGUGUCCGAGGCCCGACCUGAUUGUUGUAUAUUGCGGCAAUGGAGCUCCAACUCUUUGUGCAAUUUCCUGUAACAGGUUCUUGUACACCCCCGUCUCAUCCUGAACACACAAAAACCAAUUGACAUCACGUCAACAAAACUAGAUGACCGCAGAAGCAAUCGUAGGGUGGCUCAAGAAUAUCUUAUGACCCAAAUACCCCUAGCAGAUGAAGUUAAAGUUAGUAAACAAGCAGAGAGUCAUCAGAAACGCAAGUACAGCUGGUUUCCAGAUAAAACGACAAACAAAUCAAAGAUUAGUGCUUUAGCUUUUAGUAAACACUCAAUCCUACUCUUACUUCUCUCGGCCAGAAACUUCCCAUUUUCCCAUUGUUUAUUAUAUAUUCGAAAUAAAUGAUUAAAUAAAAACGAAUCACAUUAUCGUCGUCACCCAAGUCAAGAGAAAAUCCCACUCAAAUAUGCAACCGCAAGCACACACAAAUCCAUCCAGGGGCAUUUUCGUCGUUUCCCAGCGAACCCACUCACCGGCGAUCAAAAGUUAACCAACUGAUGUGAUUGAUCGUCAGCAAGAUUUAGCUGAAUUCUAUUGGUCAAUUUUAGUGAUCAGCUAAGAAGAGAAAUGAAGAAGAAGGAUAGAGAGAGAGAGAACAUCAACAGACCAGAAUCCUGGCGGCGAGGGAAGGGGAGGGACCACGGUGGGAGAGGGAGCUGAGAGCGACUUCGGCGGCGGAGUGUUCGGCCUGACGGAGAGUAGAACAAUAGUGAGGGCUCUCGAAGAUCUCGCCGUUGAAGUUAACGGUGGCCUUGAAUCUGGGCGCGUGGUCAGGACCUUCCCGAAUGCACGUGUAGGAGG
This 1972-nucleotide long non-coding RNA is filed under the name Citrus sinensis (sweet orange). Its description in RNAcentral is "long non-coding RNA (CSIN_LNC003640)". The record is from RNAcentral. Lineage: Eukaryota; Viridiplantae; Streptophyta; Magnoliopsida; Sapindales; Rutaceae.